This 330-nucleotide ribosomal RNA is filed under the name Pleuragramma antarctica (Antarctic silverfish). Its description in RNAcentral is "partial 12S ribosomal RNA". It matches the Rfam family "Bacterial small subunit ribosomal RNA", at positions 866 to 1362 of the family's 1533-position model. Lineage: Eukaryota; Metazoa; Chordata; Actinopteri; Perciformes; Nototheniidae. The record is from RNAcentral.
UAUCCGCCUGGGAACUACGAGCACCAGCUUAAAACCCAAAGGACUUGGCGGUGCUUUAGAUCCUACUAGAGGAGCCUGUUCUAGAACCGAUAACCCCCGUUCAACCUCACCUUUCCUUGUUUUUACCGCCUAUAUACCGCCGUCGUCAGCCCACCCUAUGAAGGUUUAAAAGUAGGCUAAAUUGGCAUGGCCCAGAACGUCAGGCCGAGGUGUAGCGUAUGGAAGGGGAAGAAAUGGGCUACAUUCCCUAUUUUAGGGCACACGAAUGAUACGCUGAAACGCGCAUCUUGAAGGAGGAUUUAGCAGUAAGCAGGAAGUAGAGCGUCCUGC